Molecule: long non-coding RNA, 1015 nt
Filed under: Homo sapiens (human)
Lineage: Eukaryota; Metazoa; Chordata; Mammalia; Primates; Hominidae
Description: non-protein coding lnc-ELF2-5:2
Source: RNAcentral
AUUGCUCCCAGCGCCAAGCUCUGUGUCGCCGCCGUCGCCUAGGCGGUUGGGGGUCGGUGGGGCGGCGCGGGCGGGGGUCGCUGCGCGGGGCGGCGAGCCUCUGUUUUGUCUCCUUCUCUCCCUGUGGAGCGGCUCGGGCUGCUGGGGAGGCCCCGGCUCCCUCCGGACGCUCGGCCAACGGCGGCGGCUAGUCCGCGGCCCUGCUGAGAGGGAAAAGGACGCCGCGGUCUUCCCAGGCGUCGCGGAGAGCAGAGACCGGGUUUCACUGUGUUAGCCAGGAUGGUCUCGAUGUCUUGACCUCGUGAUCCACCCACCUCGGCCUCCCAAAGUGCUGGGAUGACAGGCGUGAGCCACUGCGCCCGGCCCUGAUACUUCUUAUAUAUGGUGUUUGACAAGUCUUUCAGGAAAAUCUGAAUUUUUUUCCCCAUAUGACCUUUUUUCUGAUGUGUAAUAGUUGGAAAAUAAAGGCAGGAUUUAGAAUAAUUACUGAGAAUGAAAAACUUCUUUUGAAGAGGAAACCAAGAACUUGGUUCAAGAGGAGAAAGAAAUUAAAAGGUGGUAAUUUCUUUUUGAGACAUUUACUUUCUUGAAUAAACUUGACAUCCCCCCCUUUUUUUUUUUUAUCUUUUUCUUUAGGGACAUUGGUCUAUAGUUAGUAUCUAGGUUUACAACAUUAAGCUUUUUUCAUUUUGUUUGGAAAAACAAGGCUGGCAGAAUUACAUUUGUUUUUAAUUCCAUUGCUAAUAUUACAUACUUAGGAGGCUAUCAGGUGCAAGUUAUUUACUUGAGACAAGAAGCACUGAUUAUUUUGGCUAGGCUUCAUCUGAAGGCCUAUGUUCUGGGAAGGGAGGCCUCCAUAAAAAAGGAAGAACCUUUAGUGACCUUUAUCCUUGGGAAUAAAAGUAAAGAUCAGAAGCCAGUGCAUUCAGUUUACCGUCUUACAAAAGGAGUCAAGUAUUGUAUAGGUCAGAGACCACUAUUGUAAGAUCAUAUAAAUCCUGUGUCUAAUUUUGUU